UACGUAGGGUGCAAGCGUUGUCCGGAAUUAUUGGGCGUAAAGAGCUCGUAGGCGGUUCGUCGCGUCGGCUGUGAAAACCCGGAGCUCAACUCCGGGCCUGCAGUCGAUACGGGCGGACUUGAGUGUUGCAGGGGAGACUGGAAUUCCUGGUGUAGCGGUGAAAUGCGCAGAUAUCAGGAGGAACACCGGUGGCGAAGGCGGCGCUCUGGGCCGGAACUGACGCUGAGGAGCGAAAGCGUGGGUAGCAAACAGG
Molecule: ribosomal RNA, 253 nt
Filed under: uncultured bacterium
Lineage: Bacteria
Description: partial 16S ribosomal RNA
Rfam family: Bacterial small subunit ribosomal RNA
Source: RNAcentral